GACAUCGUCAAGAAAUUCGUUAUUCGUCAGUCGUCCAGAUCAAGUUGCCGUCAAGAGACUGUUAUUUGUCAGUAGUCGUCUACACAAGUCAAGUCAUCGCCAGAAGAACCGUUAACCUAUUCGUCAGUAACUGUGUACACAAAGUCGUCGGAACUACACAUACGGUCAUCAACAGUCGUCAAAGAAACUGGAACAUUUUGCUGUGGCAUAUCAGGACAUCUGUGGCAUUACGUGGGAUACUGGUAGCACCGGAGAACAGAGUCAGAACUGGAAGAGAGGCAGUGGAAUUUGUUGUGAUCUAGCAUAUUCGGGAGUCCGAACAAAGGGAUCUUUCUUAUCAAAAGCUAAGUGCCAUUUUUCUUAUUAGUAUAUGUUUAGAUUGCCCUUAGAAAUAGAUUUUGUCUAAAUUUGGUACGUUAGCCUGAGUAAAAUCAGGUGGUGCGCCUUAAAACCCGUCGGGGUAGAAGACGUAAUUUAGAUGAAAAGCUAUAUUAUACGUUUAGAGUUGUAAUUUGUUUUGUUUGUGUAAACGUCAUAUCCGUUGUUGCCUGGUUACUUCGUGACGUCAUCAUUGUGUGCCAUAUUGUCAUAUCCCAACCCAUAGCGAUAGUCUCAUUUAAUUAUUUCAUUUGUUUAUAUUAUUUUAAAUUAUUUAUUUUUAUUAAUUUAAUUAGAUCUGUAUUUUUUUUUCACUUAAUGAUAGAAAGUGCGGGUAGGAUUCUUUCAUUGUGAAUCAGACUAAAAUAAUUUUAGUUUGAGCGGUUAAAAUCAAAUAUGAUUUUGCCAUGAGAAUAAUGCCGAAACUGGCUAUGUAGUCAAACACUGUCGUCUGGCUAAAUAUAGAUCUACAAAUUUUGUACAUCUCUUUGGUACAAUUUAAUUAUCUAGACUCUAAUUUGAAAUAUUAUUAAUUGAAAAAUGAAUGAAGAUUACUGCCAGUGAAGAACAUUUGUGACGUGUGACGUGCCCAUAAGAUGCCACAUUUUCUUUUAUGAUGAACUGUGUACUAGUGAAGAUGAUUUUGGAAUGUUAUGAACUGUUAUGAACAUUGACAUGAAUAUGAGAAACUGUCAAGAUGAAGAUGUCAAGAUGAAGAGAUCAAGAUUUUAUGUUUGUGGUCUUCCCCUUAAAUUGAAAAUGCCCUUGUAAGACUUGACAGUAGUGGAAAAAUAUUGACAUAUUUUUUUUUCAAGGGGGGGAGGAAUCUGUUAGACACCUUAUUUAUAUAGGUUAGUUAUUUUAGUUAUUUAGCGACGCACCAUAGUAGACGCAUAUUGAACGGGACUAGUGACGUUUGGGAUAUGUUGGGUUAGAGACCGGAAAAUCAGUUAGCGAUAUAACAUUACAGGGUAACGACGUGUUUAGUGACAGAGACUUCUACUGUGGCCUUUUAUCAGAAUAAAUCCAUGUGAACUUGUU
Long non-coding RNA from Biomphalaria glabrata, 1419 nucleotides. RefSeq lists it as uncharacterized. The record is from RefSeq and is a predicted model, not a curated record. Lineage: Eukaryota; Metazoa; Mollusca; Gastropoda; Planorbidae. The transcript is spliced from 2 exons.